Thaumarchaeota archaeon 13_1_20CM_2_39_20 is the source of this 74-nucleotide non-coding RNA. Lineage: Archaea; Thermoproteati; Nitrososphaerota. The record is from Rfam.
GCCGCCCUAGCUCAGCGUGGUAGAGCAGCUGACUGUUAAUCAGCGGGUCGUCAGUCCAAGUCUGACGGGCGGCG